AGCGAACGCUGGCGGCAGGCCUAACACAUGCAAGUCGAACGAACCUUUCGGGGUUAGUGGCGGACGGGUGAGUAACACGUGGGAACGUGCCUUUAGGUUCGGAAUAACUCAGGGAAACUUGUGCUAAUACCGAAUGUGCCCUUCGGGGGAAAGAUUAAUCGCCUUUGGAGCGGCCCGCGUCGGUUUAGCUAGUUGGUUGAGGUAAUGGCUCACCAAGGCGACGAUCAGUAGCUGGUCUGAGAGGAUGAUCAGCCACAUUGGGACUGAGACACGGCCCAAACUCCUGCGGGAGGCAGCAGGGGGGAAUCAUGCGCAAUGGGCGAAAGCCUGACGCAGCCAGGCCGCGUGAAUGAUGAAGGUGUUAGGAUUGUAAAAUUCUUUCACCGGGGACGAUAAUGACGGUACCCGGAGAAGAAGCCCCGGCUAACUUCGU
RNAcentral lists this ribosomal RNA (433 nucleotides) under uncultured bacterium. RNAcentral's name for it is "partial 16S ribosomal RNA". It matches the Rfam family "Bacterial small subunit ribosomal RNA", at positions 29 to 506 of the family's 1533-position model. The record is from RNAcentral.